Passer montanus (Eurasian tree sparrow) is the source of this 579-nucleotide long non-coding RNA. RefSeq lists it as uncharacterized. The record is from RefSeq and is a predicted model, not a curated record. Lineage: Eukaryota; Metazoa; Chordata; Aves; Passeriformes; Passeridae. The transcript has 3 exons.
AUCAAGAAGCUUCUGAAUUAAGCAUCAAGAGCAAGUACUUGCUGAAGGAAAAAUGAAUCCAAUAAAAGCCCAGGAUGUGAUACUGUGUGACACAAGAGCCUGGCAGCUGUGCUCUGGGCAGUCUAAAACUCUCCUGGACUUGGACAGGUAUUGAUAUUUCUGAAAAAGUGCCAGCCACUACCUUGAGUAAUUUCAAUAAAUAUAUGUCCAGCAAUUCAAGAAGAAAGAAGAGCUGAAGUAAAUCCACCACCACCCUGCUGCCAGCUCGUUCCCUGCUUCACACCCUCCACCACCAAAAAUAAGUUAUCUAUGGAGCUCUGGGAUCCUUGCUAGGAAGAUAUAAAAUAUAGAGAGCACAGCUGGGAGCUCCAGCUCCAUCCUCUGAUCUUCACAGAAUAUCCUGUGGUAGAAGGGUCCAUCAGGACCAUGGAGUCCAGCUUCUGGCACAGGACACUCCAGGAGUGCCAUCAUGUGAGAGCAUUGUCCAAAUGUUCCCGGAGCUCUGGCAGGUUUGGUGCUGUGACCAUUCCCUGUGGAGCCUGGUCAGUGCCCCACCCCCCUCUGGGGGAAGAACCCAAC